RNAcentral lists this ribosomal RNA (636 nucleotides) under Portunus pelagicus (sand crab). RNAcentral's name for it is "partial 16S ribosomal RNA". It matches the Rfam family "Bacterial large subunit ribosomal RNA", at positions 1829 to 2762 of the family's 2925-position model. Lineage: Eukaryota; Metazoa; Arthropoda; Malacostraca; Decapoda; Portunidae. The record is from RNAcentral.
GUCUAUUAUGAAUUUAUUUAUAGUCUAGCCUGCUCACUGAUAAAAUUAUUAAAUAGCCGCGGUAUCUUGACCGUGCAAAGGUAGCAUAAUCAUUAGUUUUUUAAUUGAAAACUUGUAUGAAUGGUUGGACAAAGAAAAAGCUGUCUCUUUCAUUAAAAUUGAAUUUAACUUCUAAGUGAAAAGGCUUAGAUAUUUUAGAGGGACGAUAAGACCCUAUAAAGCUUUAUAAAUUUAAAGAUUUUAUAUAUUUUUUUUAUAAUGGUGAUCUCUCGAAAAUUUAUUGGGUUGGGGCAACAAAAGUAUAAUUAUCAAUAACUGCUAUAAAUUACUACAAUUAUUUUUGUUAUUAAAGAGUUGUUGAUCCUCGAAAGGGAUUAAAAGAUCAAGUUACUUUAGGGAUAACAGCGUAAUUUAUCUUGAGAGUUCUUAUCAAAGGAUAAGUUUGCGACCUCGAUGUUGAAUUAAAAUGUCUUUAUAGUGCAGCAGCUAUACAAGAAGGUCUGUUCGACCUUUAAUUUUUUACAUGAUUUGAGUUCAGACCGGCGUGAGCCAGGUCGGUUUCUAUCUUCUAAGAAUAAAAGGCCACUUUAGUACGAAAGGAUUAAGUAGUCAAAAGUAUUUUAAAAUUUUGAAAUA